GCACCUUCGGUGUCCGAGUUGUAAUUUGAAGAUUGUAACCUUGGGGUUGGCUCUUGUCUAUGUUUCUUGGAACAGGACGUCACAGAGGGUGAGAAUCCCGUGCGAUGAGAUGCCCAAUCCUAUGUAAGGUGCUUUCGAAGAGUCGAGUUGUUUGGGAAUGCAGCUCUAAGUGGGUGGUAAAUUCCAUCUAAAGCUAAAUAUUGGCGAGAGACCGAUAGCGAACAAGUACAGUGAUGGAAAGAUGAAAAGAACUUUGAAAAGAGAGUGAAAAAGUACGUGAAAUUGUUGAAAGGGAAGGGUUUGAGAUCAGACUCGAUAUUUUGUGAGCCUUGCCUUCGUGGCGGGGUGACCCGCAGCUUAUCGGGCCAGCAUCGGUUUGGGCGGUAGGAUAAUGGCGUAGGAAUGUGACUUUGCUUCGGUGAAGUGUUAUAGCCUGCGUUGAUGCUGCCUGCCUAGACCGAGGACUGCGAUUUUAUCAAGGAUGCUGGCAUAAUGAUCCCAAACCGCC
RNAcentral lists this ribosomal RNA (508 nucleotides) under Meyerozyma caribbica. RNAcentral describes it as "LSU rRNA". It matches the Rfam family "Eukaryotic large subunit ribosomal RNA", at positions 125 to 649 of the family's 3401-position model. The record is from RNAcentral. Lineage: Eukaryota; Fungi; Ascomycota; Pichiomycetes; Serinales; Debaryomycetaceae.